CAGCGCCACAAGUGGCAAUCAUGUAUUUGGCCUAAAGCGUCCGUAGCCGGUUUGGCAAAUCUUCUGUGAAAUCGAGCAGCUCAACUGUUCGGCGGGCAGGAGACACUACCAAACUUGGAACCGGGAGGGGUACAGAGUAUUCCAGGGGAAGCGGUAAAAUGCUAUAAUCCCUGGAGGACUACCUAUGGCGAAGGCACUGUACCAGAACGGAUUCGACGGUGAGGGACGAAAGCCAGGGGAGCGAUCCGGAUUAGAGACCCGAGUAGUCC
This 269-nucleotide ribosomal RNA is filed under the name uncultured archaeon. RNAcentral's name for it is "partial 16S ribosomal RNA". It matches the Rfam family "Archaeal small subunit ribosomal RNA", at positions 477 to 747 of the family's 1478-position model. The record is from RNAcentral.